GGCUCGUUAGUCUAGGGGUAUGACUCUCACUUCAGGUGCGAGAGGUCCUGGGUUCAGCUCCCCGACGAGCCC
This is a non-coding RNA of Gymnothorax javanicus (giant moray), 72 nucleotides long. NCBI's taxonomy places the organism in Eukaryota, Metazoa, Chordata, Actinopteri, Anguilliformes, Muraenidae. The record is from the annotation of a GenBank genome assembly.